Molecule: ribosomal RNA, 466 nt
Filed under: uncultured bacterium
Lineage: Bacteria
Description: partial 16S ribosomal RNA
Rfam family: Bacterial small subunit ribosomal RNA
Source: RNAcentral
GAUGAACGCUGGCGGCGUGCUUAACACAUGCAAGUCGAACGGAAAGGCCCAAGCUUGCUUGGGUACUCGAGUGGCGAACGGGUGAGUAACACGUGGGUGAUCUGCCCUGCACUUCGGGAUAAGCCUGGGAAACUGGGUCUAAUACCGGAUAGGACCACAUUUUGGAUGGUGUGGUGGAAAGUUUUUGGGUGAGGGACGAGCUCGCGGCCUAUCAGCUUGUUGGUGGGGUAAUGGCCUACCAAGGCGUGGAAGGGUAGCCGGCCAGUGGGGGUGUACGGCCACAUUGGGACUUAGAUGCGGCCCAGAUGCCUACGGGAGGCAGCAGGGGGGAAUAUUGCACAAUGGGCGCCAGCCUGAUGCAGCGGGGCUGCGUGUGGGAUGACGGCCUUCGGGUUGUAAACUCCUUUCGCUAGGGACGGAGCGUUAUGUGACGGUACCUGGAGAAGAAGCACCGGCUAACUACGUG